UAGAUGAAAAAAAAACUUUGAAAAGAGAGUUAAACAGUACGUGAAAUUGCUGAAAGGGAAACGCUUGAAGUCAGUCGCGUCGUUUAGAACUCAGCCUUGCUUUUGCUUGGUGCACUUUCUAGAUGACGGGCCAGCAUCGAUUUUGACCGUCGGAAAAGGGCUAGGGUAAUGUGGCACCUCCGGGUGUGUUAUAGACUCUAGUCGCAUACGGCGGUUGGGAUCGAGGAACGCAGCGCGCCGCAAGGCAGGGGUUCGCCCACUUUCGCGCUUAGGAUGCUGGCAUAAUGGCUUUAAACGACCCGUCUUGAAACACGGACCAAGGAGUCUAACAUACCUGCGAGUGUUUGGGUGGAAAACCCGAGCGCGUAAUGAAAGUGAAAGUUGAGACCUCUGUCGUGGAGGGCAUCGACGCCCGGACCUGACGUUCUCUGACGGAUCCGCGGUAGAGCAUGUAUGUUGGGACCCGAAAGAUGGUGAACUAUGCCUGAAUAGGGUGAAGCCAGAGGAAACUCUGGUGGAGGCUCGUAGCGAUUCUGACGUGCAAAUCGAUCGUCAAAUUUGGGUAUAGGGGCGAAAGACUAAUCGAACCCUACUAGACUUGCCCU
RNAcentral lists this ribosomal RNA (605 nucleotides) under Amauroderma subresinosum. RNAcentral describes it as "partial large subunit ribosomal RNA". It matches the Rfam family "Eukaryotic large subunit ribosomal RNA", at positions 359 to 958 of the family's 3401-position model. The record is from RNAcentral. Lineage: Eukaryota; Fungi; Basidiomycota; Agaricomycetes; Polyporales; Polyporaceae.